RNAcentral lists this ribosomal RNA (155 nucleotides) under Ooceraea biroi (clonal raider ant). Its description in RNAcentral is "5.8S ribosomal RNA". It matches the Rfam family "5.8S ribosomal RNA". From Rfam's summary of the family: 5.8S ribosomal RNA (5.8S rRNA) is a component of the large subunit of the eukaryotic ribosome. It is transcribed by RNA polymerase I as part of the 45S precursor that also contains 18S and 28S rRNA. Functionally, it is thought that 5.8S rRNA may be involved in ribosome translocation. The record is from RNAcentral. Lineage: Eukaryota; Metazoa; Arthropoda; Insecta; Hymenoptera; Formicidae.
UACCCUGAACGGUGGAUCACUUGGCUCGUGGGUCGAUGAAGAACGCAGCUAAUUGCGCGUCAACUUGUGAACUGCAGGACACAUGAACAUCGACAUUUCGAACGCACAUUGCUGUCCACGGAUACAAUUCCCGGACCACGCCUGGCUGAGGGUCG